Molecule: ribosomal RNA, 811 nt
Filed under: uncultured Duganella sp.
Lineage: Bacteria; Pseudomonadati; Pseudomonadota; Betaproteobacteria; Burkholderiales; Oxalobacteraceae
Description: bacterial SSU rRNA
Rfam family: Bacterial small subunit ribosomal RNA
Source: RNAcentral
GCAGUCGAACGGCAGCGCGGGCUUCGGCCUGGCGGCGAGUGGCGAACGGGUGAGUAAUAUAUCGGAACGUACCCAAGAGUGGGGGAUAACGUAGCGAAAGUUACGCUAAUACCGCAUACGAUCUAAGGAUGAAAGCAGGGGAUCGCAAGACCUUGUGCUCCUGGAGCGGCCGAUAUCCGAUUAGCUAGUUGGUGAGGUAAAGGCUCACCAAGGCAACGAUCAGUAGCUGGUCUGAGAGGACGACCAGCCACACUGGAACUGAGACACGGUCCAGACUCCUACGGGAGGCAGCAGUGGGGAAUUUUGGACAAUGGGGGCAACCCUGAUCCAGCAAUGCCGCGUGAGUGAAGAAGGCCUUCGGGUUGUAAAGCUCUUUUGUCAGGGAAGAAAAGGUCGUGGCUAAUAUCCACGACUGCUGACGGUACCUGAAGAAUAAGCACCGGCUAACUACGUGCCAGCAGCCGCGGUAAUACGUAGGGUGCAAGCGUUAAUCGGAAUUACUGGGCGUAAAGCGUGCGCAGGCGGUUUCGUAAGUCUGUCGUGAAAUCCCCGGGCUUAACCUGGGAAUGGCGAUGGAGACUGCGAGGCUAGAGUUUGGCAGAGGGGGGUAGAAUUCCACGUGUAGCAGUGAAAUGCGUAGAGAUGUGGAGGAACACCGAUGGCGAAGGCAGCCCCCUGGGUCAAAACUGACGCUCAUGCACGAAAGCGUGGGGAGCAAACAGGAUUAGAUACCCUGGUAGUCCACGCCCUAAACGAUGUCUACUAGUUGUUGGGUCUUAAUUGACUUAGUAACGCAGCUUACGCGUGAAGU